CGAGUGGCGGACGGGUGAGUAACGCGUAGGAAUUUACCUCAAAGCGGGGGAUAGCCCGGAGAAAUCCGGAUUAAUACCGCAUGUGCUCUACGGAGUAAAGCGGGCCUCUUCUUGAAAGCUCGCACUUUGAGAUAAGCCUACGUCGGAUUAGCUUGUUGGUAGGGUAAAAGCCUACCAAGGCGACGAUCCGUAGCUGGUUUGAGAGGAUGAUCAGCCACACUGGGACUGAGACACGGCCCAG
RNAcentral lists this ribosomal RNA (241 nucleotides) under uncultured bacterium. RNAcentral's name for it is "partial 16S ribosomal RNA". It matches the Rfam family "Bacterial small subunit ribosomal RNA", at positions 92 to 334 of the family's 1533-position model. The record is from RNAcentral.